GACGAACGCCGUCGGCGUGCUUAACACAUGCAAGUCGAACGGAAAGGCCCUGCUUUUGUGGGGUGCUCGAGUGGCGAACGGGUGAGUAACACGUGAGUAACCUGCCCUUGACUUUGGGAUAACUUCAGGAAACUGGGGCUAAUACCGGAUAGGAGCUCCUGCUGCAUGGUGGGGGUUGGAAAGUUUCGGCGGUUGGGGAUGGACUCGCGGCUUAUCAGCUUGUUGGUGGGGUAGUGGCUUACCAAGGCUUUGACGGGUAGCCGGCCUGAGAGGGUGACCGGCCACAUUGGGACUGAGAUACGGCCCAGACUCCUACGGGAGGCAGCAGUGGGGAAUAUUGCACAAUGGGCGGAAGCCUGAUGCAGCAACGCCGCGUGCGGGAUGACGGCCUUCGGGUUGUAAACCGCUUUCGCCUGUGACGAAGCGUGAGUGACGGUAAUGGGUAAAGAAGCACCGGCUAACUACGUGCCAGCAGCCGCGGUGAUACGUAGGGUGCGAGCGUUGUCCGGAUUUAUUGGGCGUAAAGGGCUCGUAGGUGGUUGAUCGCGUCGGAAGUGUAAUCUUGGGGCUUAACCCUGAGCGUGCUUUCGAUACGGGUUGACUUGAGGAAGGUAGGGGAGAAUGGAAUUCCUGGUGGAGCGGUGGAAUGCGCAGAUAUCAGGAGGAACACCAGUGGCGAAGGCGGUUCUCUGGGCCUUUCCUGACGCUGAGGAGCGAAAGCGUGGGGAGCGAACAGGCUUAGAUACCCUGGUAGUCCACGCUGUAAACGGUGGGUACUAGGUGUGGGGUCCAUUCCACGGGUUCCGUGCCGUAGCUAACGCUUUAAGUACCCCGCCUGGGGAGUACGGCCGCAAGGCUAAAACUCAAAGGAAUUGACGGGGCCCCGCACAAGCGGCGGAGCAUGCGGAUUAAUUCGAUGCAACGCGUAGAACCUUACCUGGGUUUGACAUGGAUCGGGAGUGCUCAGAGAUGGGUGUGCCUCUUUUGGGGUCGGUUCACAGGUGGUGCAUGCCUGUCGUCAGCUCGUGUCGUGAGAUGUUGGGUUAAGUCCCGCAACGAGCGCAACCCUUGUUCACUGUUGCCAGCACGUUAUGGUGGGGACUCAGUGGAGACCGCCGGGGUCAACUCGGAGGAAGGUGGGGAUGACGUCAAGUCCUCAUGCCCCUUAUGUCCAGGGCUUCACGCAUGCUACAAUGGCUGGUACAGAGAGUGGCGAGCCUGUGAGGGUGAGCGAAUCUCGGAAAGCCGGUCUCAGUUCGGAUUGGGGUCUGCAACUCGACCUCAUGAAGUCGGAGUCGCUAGUAAUCGCAGAUCAGCAACGCUGCGGUGAAUACGUUCCCGGGGCU
RNAcentral lists this ribosomal RNA (1346 nucleotides) under uncultured bacterium. RNAcentral describes it as "bacterial SSU rRNA". It matches the Rfam family "Bacterial small subunit ribosomal RNA", at positions 28 to 1381 of the family's 1533-position model. The record is from RNAcentral.